AAGUCGUAACAAGGUUUCCGUAGGUGAACCUGCGGAAGGAUCAUUACCAUAUCCAAAACUUUACCAACCCACCGUGUGAACUGUUUGUAUGCUGUGGCCUUACAGCCCGGCAUCCAUUUUUCCAUGUGUUCCCCACAUGUGGGGAAGCAUGGAAGCAUGAUAACGCUUUUGAAACCGACCAUUGAAAACCUGAUGUUGUUUUUCUUCUUCGGGAGAAGAACCAUUGCCAAAAAAAACCAAUAGACAACUUACAACGGUGGAUCUCUUGGCUCGU
This 274-nucleotide unclassified non-coding RNA is filed under the name fungal sp. RNAcentral's name for it is "partial internal transcribed spacer region". The stretch from base 1 to 46 matches the Rfam family "Eukaryotic small subunit ribosomal RNA", at positions 1786 to 1831 of the family's 1831-position model. Lineage: Eukaryota; Fungi. The record is from RNAcentral.